RNAcentral lists this long non-coding RNA (3115 nucleotides) under Homo sapiens (human). RNAcentral's name for it is "HSALNT0210826". The record is from RNAcentral. Lineage: Eukaryota; Metazoa; Chordata; Mammalia; Primates; Hominidae.
CAAGCAAUCCACCUGCCUUGGCCUCCCAAAGUGCUGGGAUUACAGGAGCGAGCCACCAUGCCCCGCCCACUUACAAUUUUAUAUGCCAGAGAAUUAUCAGAAUUUUCCAGAGACUAACUUCUCGCUCUGCACAUUUUGAGCCUGGUUUUCCUCCCUACCCACAUGCCUCUGCUGCUAGGCUCUGUGGGACACAUUAGCAUCACCGUGUCCUGCCCUGCAGCACAGUGGACCCCGGAGUCCUAGGAGCUGCUUCCACACAAGCAUGACCAGCUGUAACCGAAAUCGGCAGGGAAGUGAACAAACCACAUGGACAUUCCCACACUAAACCCAAACUAAGUGUGUCUCCAACUCAACUUCCUGUUAGCUGGAUCCCCAAAUGCCCAUGGCCACCUCAGUGCCACUAACAUAAGGAAACAGAUGGCAUCUUAACCAGUUGUGGUUAAAAUAUCUUACUUUUGCAAACUUGACUAAAGCACCGCAUGAACACAGUGUGAGGGCCCCUCUCAGACACCUGGAAGGGGCAUGGCACCUGAGGACUCUACCUUCACAGUGAAUCCACCUCUGCCUCUAGGACACCGGUUAUGGAUGUGUUGGCCACAGUGAAACCACUGCUUAAAAUGAGGUAGCUGACAGUUACAUAGCACCUACAAAGGGAAAUGCUUUGUAUGUUAUUAAGUUAUUUAAUCCUUAUAACAACCCUAAGAUGUUGGUGUUAUGAUAAUCAUCAUUUUAUAGAUAGAGAAAGCCAGCUAACUUGCCCAGGGUCACACAUGUAGUAAGUGUUGGACCUGGAAUUUGAACCCAGGCAGCUUGGCUUAAGCUAGCACCUCAUACACUUUCCAUAGCAGCCCCACAGCCUCCACCACCAUUCCAGGACUCUACAUUCUUACCUAUGACCUUCUACCAUAGCACACAUUUUACUGAUUUGCCUAUCAUCUAUCCCUUGUUACUAAAAUAUAGACUAUGAGGACAGAGCUGUUUGUUUUGUUCACUGCUGAAUCACCAACACCUACAACAGUGCUUGGCACAUCAUAGGAUUUUUUUUCCCUAGCUGGUUUUAGGUCAACGACAAUAAAACGUGAAUUCUGGAGAUUCAAAACCUCAAAUCUUCAACUUUUCACCUCGCACUUUUAUUCCUGGGACAAAAACUUGCUCAGCACAUCUCUUCCUAAAUUCCAAGACAGGCUGCUUGUUCUGUUCAGUCAAGAAUGCCAACCCAAGAAACAUUUUUGAAAGAUCACAGUCAACGUCAUUGCCAAAAGAAGAAGCUCUUGGCACACAAAGAACCUGGUUCAAUAUGAGAUGCCAGAUGGUGAUUUCAACUUCAGCUAAAUUCCUGCUGAGAAGUAUUUGAACUGCAGAUGAGAAAAUCUUCUGUGACAAAUUUCCAAGUGUUAGAAGCUUCAGAGGAAAAUGGCAAGUGUUGAUACCCUCUCUCCCCGCAACCACCACCACCAACCACAUGCACACAUACCAUGGAACAUACCUGCAUCUGGUAGCUAAGAUUCCAACAGAUGCCUCUGCCUUUUAAAAAGCCUAUGGACCCUGAUUUGAUUUUUACUAAAAGUAUAUUAACUGAGUCCAUUGGAAGCAAAUACCAUUUGAUUAAUAUGCAGUGCUUUUUCAAAGGGUGCGUUCCCUUAGCAUCGGAGAUAACUCUUUCCUGUCUUCCAAUAAUUCUGUUGUUAAUUGAUAAUUAAUUGAUAGUCAACUGAUACUCAGUGUAUCUCCCCUCCCUAGAUACUUUCAAAUUCCAGGAGAUACAUGUGAGGCAUAAAUUGAUGGUGCUCUGCCUGGAUGACCUUGAAUCUCUUUUGCUGGUUCUGUGUGCCCACACCCCAGCUUCAGUGUAUUUUGCUUUCUAAUGAUUAGCUUCUGCAACUAUCUUCAGAGGGUUGCCCUUGAACUACUGAAUUUCACCUGUUUGCACAGAGAACUGAAAGUGCCUGGGAGCUUACUGUGGCCCUGAGAUGCCCACAGCCAAUGAGUCACUGGUACAGGAAAUUGAAAGCCCAGCUCCCCCGAAUCAAGUCUGGGAAAAUUCUGAGGUGUAAUAUAUGCUCCAGAGCUCCAGUCAGCAAUAGGCUGAGACUGGGACUCUGCCUGAAUAACACUUGCACUUGGCUUUUUCCCUCCUUCUUUCCCUGUGUUGCUCCUGCCUCCCCACAUACCCCCUUGGAGGUCUCUCCUGUAACACAUCUUUCAUAUAACUCAUGUACAAAUUCUCGUCUUGGGAUCUGCUUCUGGGAAACUGACCUGUGAUGAUUCUGGGCAAUGGAAAAGUUCGAGUAUCCUGCUAAUAAAGAAAACAGAAAUUCUUUCUAGAACAAGGAACAUAUGCGUGCCUACUUUAUCAAUCAAAGUCUCAGAAGGAAAUAGUGGAUAAAGUCAAAGUAGGUAUUUGGAGAAAGAGUAGUAAUAAAGGGACUAUUUCCAAAGGUGUGGACUGGGUUCAGAGAGACAAGGAUAAGUGCCCACCUGGAAGCUAGGACCAGGAUGUGCCAUUGCCAACUCUAGGCCUCACUGGUAAAAGGAGAGUGUGGCUUUGCAAGCUGGUGACAGAAAUGUGUGGAGAGGCUGUGAGACAGGAGCUGUGACUUUACAGGUUGCAGCCAGCCUGCAGAGACCCUGCAAGGAGUUAGCACCAACCUUAUGCUCCAUCUUGCCUCCAAUCUUGUCAGCGCUACCCCAUCAGCUGAACAUAAUGGGAACUAGGGCUUGAGGGAGCCUGUUAAUGUAGUACAUCUAGGGUUAGCCUCUUGGGGCACACAGCAGGUGGAGAAGAGUAGGGAGAGGAUCUGAAGGGACAAACAGAAGCUUUCCAGCAGCACACUUGCCUACCUAUCUUACACACACACAGUUUGGCUGGUUCUUGAUCUUGACCUGUGACCAGAUACACCUAAAUAAACACUACUUUUCUCUCUGCUGACCUUGUCUCCUUCUAUAUUAUUUGUUUGCACAUUGAGGGACCCAGAGAUAGGCUGCAUGAUGUGUGAGAAGGGGACAUCAAAAAUCAAGUGACAAAAUACAUUUUUAUUUAAGUCUGAGUAUGGCAUUUGGGUAUCAGGAUAGCCCCAGCACUUCAGCCUCUAAGACAUUUUAUGUAGAGUGAAAC